This 451-nucleotide ribosomal RNA is filed under the name uncultured bacterium. RNAcentral's name for it is "partial 16S ribosomal RNA". It matches the Rfam family "Bacterial small subunit ribosomal RNA", at positions 29 to 523 of the family's 1533-position model. The record is from RNAcentral.
AGCGAACGCUGGCGGCAGGCUUAACACAUGCAAGUCGAGCGGGCAUCUUCGGGUGUCAGCGGCGGACGGGUGAGUAACGCGUGGGAACGUGCCUUCUGGUUCGGAAUAACUCAGGGAAACUUGAGCUAAUACCGGAUACGCCCUUUUGGGGAAAGGUUUACUGCCGGAAGAUCGGUCCGCGUCUGAUUAGCUAGUUGGUGGGGUAACGGCCUACCAAGGUGACGAUCAGUAGCUGGUCUGAGAGGAUGAUCAGCCACACUGGGACUGAGACACGGCCCAGACUCCUACGGGAGGCAGCAGUGGGGAAUAUUGGACAAUGGGGGCAACCCUGAUCCAGCCAUGCCGCGUGAGUGAUGAAGGCCUUAGGGUUGUAAAGCUCUUUUAUCCGGGACGAUAAUGACGGUACCGGAGGAAUAAGCCCCGGCUAACUUCGUGCCAGCCGCCGCCGUAA